UAGGGAAUCUUCCGCAAUGGACGCAAGUCUGACGGAGCAACGCCGCGUGAGUGAAGAAGGAUUUCGGUUCGUAAAACUCUGUUGUUAGAGAAGAACAGCGCAUAGAGUAACUGUUAUGCGUGUGACGGUAUCUAACCAGAAAGCCACGGCUAACUACGUGCCAGCAGCCGCGGUAAUACGUAGGUCCCGAGCGUUGUCCGGAUUUAUUGGGCGUAAAGCGAGCGCAGGCGGUUAGAAAAGUCUGAAGUGAAAGGCAGUGGCUCAACCAUUGUAGGCUUUGGAAACUGUUUAACUUGAGUGCAGAAGGGGAGAGUGGAAUUCCAUGUGUAGCGGUGAAAUGCGUAGAUAUAUGGAGGAACACCGGUGGCGAAAGCGGCUCUCUGGUCUGUAACUGACGCUGAGGCUCGAAAGCGUGGGGAGCGAACAGGAUUAGAUACCCUGGUAGUCCACGCCGUAAACGAUGAGUGCUAGGUGUUAGGUCCUUUCCGGGACUUAGUGCCGCAGCUAACGCAUUAAGCACUCCGCCUGGGGAGUACGACCGCAAGGUUG
RNAcentral lists this ribosomal RNA (549 nucleotides) under uncultured bacterium. RNAcentral describes it as "bacterial SSU rRNA". It matches the Rfam family "Bacterial small subunit ribosomal RNA", at positions 355 to 896 of the family's 1533-position model. The record is from RNAcentral.